This 1924-nucleotide ribosomal RNA is filed under the name Prevotella sp. Its description in RNAcentral is "partial 23S ribosomal RNA". It matches the Rfam family "Bacterial large subunit ribosomal RNA", at positions 1 to 1940 of the family's 2925-position model. Lineage: Bacteria; Pseudomonadati; Bacteroidota; Bacteroidia; Bacteroidales; Prevotellaceae. The record is from RNAcentral.
GGUCAAGCGAAUAUAGGUCUAUGGCGGAUGCCUAUGGAGCUGUAAGGCGAAGAAGGUCGUGAUAAGCUGCGAAAAGCCACGGGGAGUAGCACAUAUGCGUUAAUCCGUGGAUCACCGAAUGGGGUAACCCACAUCUUCGGAUGUACUACGUAUCUGAAUAAAAUAGGAUAGUAGAGUCAGACUGGGUGAAGUGAACCAUCUAAGUAACCCGGGAACAGAAAUCAAAAGAGAUUCCCUAAGUAGCGGCGAGCGAACGGGGAGGAGCCCAAACCACGAAAGUGGGGUUGUAGGACUGCGACGUGAGAUACUGAUGAGUAGAAGAAUCUUCUGGGAAGGAGAGUCAAAGAGUGUGAAAGCCACGUAUUCGAAACGAAUCAGACUCUAGCAGUAUCCUGAGUACGGCGGGGCACGAGGAACCCUGUCGGAAUCUAGGUCGACCACGAUCUAAGGCUAAAUACUAGACAGCUACCGAUAGUGAACAAGUACCGUGAGGGAAAGGUGAAAAGAACCCCGGUAAGGGGAGUGAAAUAGAACCUGAAACCAUAGACUGACAAGAUGUCACAGCCUGCAAAGGUAGUGGCGUGUCUUUUGUAGAAUAAACCUGCGAGUUACGGUAUGCAGCGAGGUUAAGGAAUGGUAGUUCUGGAGCCGAAGGGAAACCGAGUCUGAAAAGGGCGAUAUAAGUUGCAUGCAGUAGACCCGAAGCCAAGGUGAUCUUAUCAUGGGCAGGUUGAAGUCUGGGUAACACCAGAUGGAGGACCGAACAGUAAUCUGUUAAAAAAGGUAGUGAUGACCUGUGAUAAGGAGUGAAAGGCUAAACAAACCUGGAAAUAGCUGGCUCUCCCCGAAAUGCCUUUAGGGACAGCCUUAUACAAAACUAUCGGAGGUAAAGCACUGGAUGAGCUAGGGGGCGUCAAAGUCUACCGAAAUCAAUCAAACUCUGAAUGCCGAUAGUCAACGUAUAGGAGUGAGACUGUGUGCGCCAAGGUUCAUAGUCGAAAGGGAAACAGCCCAGACCGGCAACUAAGGUCCCGAAAUUAUGCUAAGUGUAAAAUGAAGUUUAGAUGCAUAGACAGCCAGGAGGUUGGCUUAGAAGCAGCCAUUCCUUCAAAGAGUGCGUAAUAGCUCACUGGUCGAGCAUCUGAGCGCAGACAAUGUAACGGGGCUAAGCAUAAUACCGAAGUUCCGGAACUCAUGCAUAGGUAUGAGUUGGUAGGGGAGCAUUCCAUUAACUGAAGAAGGAAAAUCUGUGAGGAUUUCUGGAGGAGAUGGAAGAGAGAAUGCAGGCAUAAGUAACGCAAAGACGGGUGAGAUCCCCGUCCGCCGAAAACCUAAGGUUUCCAGGGUAAAGGCAAUCUGCCCUGGGUAAGUCGGCCCCUAAGGCGAGGCUGAAAAGCGUAGUCGAUGGGAAUCUGGUUUAUAAUCCAGAACCUGAUAUAUUUUGAAGCCAUGACGCAUGAGGUGAAGACCUGCCAGGCGACGGUAGACCUGGUUGAAAUAUCGAGUUGGUGAGAGUGUGGUUAAAUGAACACUUGAGAUGAGAUAUGAAAGGAGGGGAGAGAAAGUCGAACCGAAGAGGAAGUAAUCAAGGUGCCGAGAAAUAGUGGCUAAGUUAGGUAUAUUAGACCGUACCGGAAACCGACACAGGUAGGAAGGAUGAGUAAUCUAAGGCGCACGAGCGACCUCGCGUUAAGGAACUCGGCAAAAUGCACACGUAACUUCGGAAGAAGUGUGGCUCCUGUUUGAAAGAAUUGGGAGUGGCAGAAAGCAGGCCCAGGCGACUGUUUAUCAAAAACACAGCCAUCUGCGAACCAGCAAUGGGACGUAUAGGUGGUGACACCUGCCCGGUGCAGGAAGGUUAAGAGGAGAGGUUAGGGUUAAACCGAAGCUUUGAAUUGAAGCCCCUGUAAACGGCGGCCGUAAC